Molecule: long non-coding RNA, 592 nt
Organism: Chelonia mydas (Green sea turtle)
Lineage: Eukaryota; Metazoa; Chordata; Testudines; Cheloniidae
Exons: 2
Source: RefSeq, a predicted model, not a curated record
CAGGCAUUGGCACCCUGACAGCAGGAUUGUCUGGUUAUGUAGACUCUCUCCUCAGGCCCUACGCUACCAGCACUCCCAGCUAUCACUUCAAUCUCUCUGGUCACUCUCCAAGGAACUUCCCACUCCGAGACCCUAGACACUGUGGCCUGUAAAUGCAGAGCCAGCGUCCUGGAAUCGUCUCAUGGUGCGUGGAGUGGUGGCAGUGGUGGGGGUGCUAGUCUCACUGUAGAAAUGUGGGUUUUGGAAAGGUAGAGGGAAAGCGUUUGCCUACCCGCGACUCGUCUUCAGGAAGGUGCUGACUCAUCCCUCCCAGCAGCCUGGAAGUCCGCAGGAUUCACAGGAAUCUGAGCUCCCCGCAGUGCGUGACAGGGACGGGGACCAGGCCCAGGGAACCAGAAACAGGAAUCGAGACCCAGCCCUGGAGAAUGGUGAAGGAGACCUGCUCAUGGAGGACAGACGCUUCACCCAGGAACCCAGAGAAAGGGACCCAUUAGGUGGGGACACGGGUGUGGCCCAGGAAACUGGAGUAGCAUUGCCAAUCCUCCAGGAUGACCGGGAGUCUGCAGGAAUUCAAGAUUAGUUUUUAAUUAAA